RNAcentral lists this ribosomal RNA (207 nucleotides) under uncultured Methyloversatilis sp. RNAcentral's name for it is "partial 16S ribosomal RNA". It matches the Rfam family "Bacterial small subunit ribosomal RNA", at positions 568 to 774 of the family's 1533-position model. The record is from RNAcentral. Lineage: Bacteria; Pseudomonadati; Pseudomonadota; Betaproteobacteria; Nitrosomonadales; Sterolibacteriaceae.
UGCGCAGGCGGUUGUGUAAGACAGGUGUGAAAUCCCCGGGCUUAACCUGGGAACUGCGCUUGUGACUGCACAGCUAGAGUAUGGCAGAGGGGGGUGGAAUUCCACGUGUAGCAGUGAAAUGCGUAGAGAUGUGGAGGAACACCGAUGGCGAAGGCAGCCCCCUGGGCCAAUACUGACGCUCAUGCACGAAAGCGUGGGGAGCAAACA